CACACCAGCUCAACUCACGUGCACGUCUUUGGGAUGGGGCUUAGAAACCAGAGAAAAUCCACACGGACUUGGGGAGAAGGUGCAAACUCCACACAGACAGUGGCCUGGCGGGGAAUCACAUUUUCUCAUCAAUGUUAUAAUGAAACGAUGUAGAAGGGAACGUUAGUCAAGGUCCAGCUGAACUACAUCAGUGCCAGGCAUUCAUAGGAAACACCUUUUGAGCACCUAAGAUGAGGCCUAAUAAAACCUGGUCCCUGACCUCCUGGACACUAGCAGUCGAGUGAGAGAGACAGCCAAGCAAAUCAAUGACUACCAUACGAAGCGACAAGUGCCAGCGGGAGGCAGGCAAGUCUCGGAGGGACUGACUUCUAAGCUGUCAGCAGCAACAGCUCUGACUCAACUCCAAUUCCCAGCACUCAGAGCAAUGAGACAGAGAGAGGAGGUCUUCCUCCAUCCAAGGGCACUUGUGGAGCCAAGCCCAUUAUAGGCUGCCUGCCACGACCGGCGAGGGCGGCGAGAGGAAGGCGAGGAGCCCAGGGCUCUCCCAGGGGGCGAGGCCACACUCCUCUACCAGCUCCCCAAGGCGACGCCUCCACAGGGCACACCAAGCACCGCAAGUCUCCCACCUUCCCGGCGGCGAUGGAACACACCCUGUGGGAUCCACUCCCCACCCGGGCCCCACAGGAGAUCUACAAACAGGAAAGCAAGGACCUCAGCUGGUUGUGGAUUCCUGAAGAACCUGGCCACUAGCUGUCCUUAAUUGGGUUGUCACAGCUUUUGAUUACCUCACAGAACGUGGGAGCACUAGAGAUGCCCUAAGGGAUCUUCUGUUUUCCAGACACACUCUUUCUGACAUCCGCUGCGUGGGAGCAGCCCGACUUUCCCUUGGUAGUCAGGUCAAUCACUCUGCCAGCAGCUCCAGGAUGAUGGCGAGUGUGGUGAGACCAGUGAAUUCCAUGAGCAUGGCCUAUCAACUUCCUUGACCAGAAGUGAUGUCUGUGUGAAAUACCAUUACAGUGGAUAAGGUAUUCCAUAAGUCCAUGGAUGACAGUUUUGGCAGAAGCACUGCAUGCAGAAAAGAUCCAAGACACAAAAUAUUUGAGAAAUGCCAAUCAAGGAAAAUGACCACAUUUCCCAGUAAGUUGGGCAUUUCGAUGCAAGCGUCAACAACUGUUUAUCAACACAAGCCAUUGCAUAUGUGGCAGUCGCUUUGGCUUAAUGAAGAUGAGAAAGCACUGCAUGCAAAAACAAGCUGAGAGCUGCCAAAGCCAUUCACUAAGCUCCCAGACACUGCCAAAGCCAGAGCCAAUGUUCGUGCUGCCGAAGUCUCUAUUUUGGCUUUGAUCAUUUGGCUUCUCAAGUACGGAAACUCUAUCUUCAGAGAGCAACAAAAUCUUCCAUUUCCUAAUGGGAGAAGGAAGAAAGCGCUAUUAAACUCAAGACACUGUGGCUGAUGAGCUUGGUGUUGAAGCAUAACUGAAAAACUCAUAAUUUGUGGCGUAACCUUAAAAAAGGAUUAAGCUUUACCUUUUGUAUAUACUCUACUUUCAAUAAAAAAUGCCUUCACUAUAAAAUUUCAUGCAGUCCAUCAAAUCUGCACGCACCAGAUUAAUUUCUGCUGAAUUGUAUAACU
Molecule: long non-coding RNA, 1633 nt
Organism: Myotis daubentonii (Daubenton's bat)
Lineage: Eukaryota; Metazoa; Chordata; Mammalia; Chiroptera; Vespertilionidae
Source: RefSeq, a predicted model, not a curated record